GUCCACGCCGUAACGAUGGUCACUAAGUGUCGGGGUCAAACCCCGGUGCUGCAGUCAACGCAAUAAGUGACCCGCCUGAGUAGUACGUUCGCAAGAAUGAAACUCAAAGGAAUUGACGGGGCCCGCACAAGCGGUGGAGCAUGUGGUUUAAUUCGAAGCAACGCGAAGAACCUUACCAGGUCUUGACAUCGAUCUAAAAGGGAUGGAGACAUCCUCAUAGCUAUAGAGAAGACAGGUGGUGCAUGGUUGUCGU
This 253-nucleotide ribosomal RNA is filed under the name uncultured bacterium. RNAcentral describes it as "partial 16S ribosomal RNA". It matches the Rfam family "Bacterial small subunit ribosomal RNA", at positions 793 to 1055 of the family's 1533-position model. The record is from RNAcentral.